GGGGAGGGGCAGAGAGAGGGAGAGAGAGAGAGAGCCGGAUGCGGGGCUCCAUCUUACAAACCGCGAGGUUAUGACCUGAGCUGAAACCAAGAAUCAGAUGCUUAACCGACUGAGCCCCCCAGCAACCCCCCUGCCCCCCGGGGAUGGUAUUUCAGGUAGAAGGAAGGACACACGUCACAUCAUGGAAACCUGCAACAGCUUCCUGUGUGUGGGAACCCCCUCCCCCCACCCGCCGGAGCUCAGCAUUCCGGCUCCAGAACUGCACCUCCUGGGCGUGACCUCCACACUGUAAGACGCGUGACCUUGGGCAGGGCCGACCGCGCUCCCCAAACCUGCUUCCUCCGCCAUAAGGGGGGGCGUGGUCACGUCUGCGUCACAGGCUUGUCGUGAGGCUGGGACGAAGCCGAGCGCGCAGCUGCCCGCAGGUGUGUGGCACGUAGUAGGUGCUCAGUGCACGCCAGCUCCUCUAACUCGGGACGCAGGCGGCACGGCACACCAGACGUCCACCAGACGUAGGGGCACACGACUGCGUUCGGGCACCGGAGCCAGCAAAAGGAUGGGGAGCACCACCACCUGGCUGGCGUCUCGUGAGGUGCGCUGUGGCCUGGAAGCGUGGAGUCCUGGCCGCAGGGUUCAGAAGGCCUCACUGUGCUGGCUCAGCCCCAUCAGUCAGCCUGUUCCUUCCUCGAGCCCCGUUCCGUCCGCCCGGGAGGUUCGGCUCACAACCCACCUCGAAGGGUCGCGGGAAGGGGGACGCUGAGUAACAGAAGGUCAGCCUCCGACCCACUCGAGACGAGACGCGGCAAACGUUACUUCGAUGGGAACAGGCGCUUCGGUGCAGUCGAACGGCAAAGCCCUGUCGGCAGGCCCGCACCUGCACGGCCUCACUCUCUCCUGGCCCGUUCUCGGGCCUCCGGAGCUGCCUGCUUCCCCUCGCGCGGCAGUCAGGGCCCGAUCGCCCCUGACGUGUCUGCCGUCCCCUAGGCCGGGGCCACGUCCCCGAGGCUGGAAAGCGGACCGAGAAAGCUUCCGCUGUCACACCUUUCCUUUAGCCGCAGCUUGUGGGCAGACGGCUCUCGUUCCUCCUCUGGCCCCGGACCCGGGAACACCGUUUGCUUUACAUUUUCAUCUCGCGACACCUGUCUUCUCUGCCGCAACAGUUUCCGGGAGGCGCGGCGGCCCGGUAGCUGCCCGCGGGCCCAGCCCGCCGCUCCGACCGGGGCCUGGUGUGCAAUGAGCCGGUUCGGGAGACCCGGCAGGAGUUUCACCAGUUUCAGACAUAAGGCCUGGCUCAGGCGGAGCAGGGCCGGGACCUGUGUCCCCAGCCUUGUACCCUUGAUACUCAAGACAGCAAGCCACUCGCGAACAUGAUGGCCCCCGGGAAAGUGGGCGAGGAGGCAGCGAGCCUUGGUGGUCAGCGGCAGGGAGUUUAACACCCGAGGCCCGGACCGGACGAGCGAGCGGACAACGUGGACACUUAGUGUGUGUGCAGAGGACAGAGGAGGAGGGGAGCUGCUUGUCACUGCCUGCUCCUGGCCGAAGGCGGUGCUGGGAUUGGCGGUGGGCGGGCGCUGGGAGGGCCACCAGGGCAGGGUCACCGGGCAGGUCCCUGUGUACCUGUGCCUGUGCACGCGUGUGUGGCUGUGACCCAGUCCUCAGUAUCCAGCAUCCAAUGUCCCCUUCUACUAGCGCGAGUGAUGCCGGAAGCUCACCCAGCCGCCAAGGACUCUCGCCCCGCGCCAGGCACCGUGCUAAGCAUAUGACACGGUGACUCACUUCAUCCUCCAAAAACAGUAGUUGUUACGAUCACCCCCAUCCUACAGCCGAGGAAACUGACAGACAGACAAGUGCAGGGGCCUUGUCUCUCUCUACCCCCUGCGGGUUGUCUCCGCUGAGCUGCAGCACCCCUGCGGGACCUGCUCCAGCCGAUGACGUGGGAGGGCCAGCGGCACCCCGGCCGGGGGCUCUGGGAGCCAGAGUGCGCUCGGUGACCGACUGCUGGUGUCCAGCAUUGCUGUGCCAUCAGCCUGCACCCCGGGGGAAGGACCAGCCCCCCGCGGUCUGCCUUUGUGGGGCCGUUAUCAGAACACAGCUCAGCCUGUCUGGACGGAGUGGGAUCCAGGCCCCUCCAGCACGGUGAGGACUCAGAAGACCCCACGCCUGGACGUCUUCCCCAGUGUCUUCGCUGACUCCUUGUCCCCCCUCCCCCGCCCCCCGCCCCGUACUCCAGACAGACACGGGUCACAUCGUGCGCCCAUGCUCGUCCCUGUCAUCAGACUGAGCUCCCAGGGGCGCACUUCUGGUCUCUGGCUUCCCAGCAUUUAGCGCAGAGCCUGGGGGCACAGGAGGUGCUAAGAGCAUGUUCACGGAGUGAACAUCUGUAGGAAAGGAUCCUGGGCACCGCAGUUACCCCGAGGGACAAAGCCCCAGGUGUCCAAGAAGACCAGUCCACCUCUGACCCCACGUUCUUGGCAGGUGACACGGGAAGGCAGGUAGCUAAUAUGCCGGGACCCUGGCCACCAGAGGAAAAAAAGAGGUCCACACGGAGGCACGUCCUCUUGGGUCUGGGGAGAAAACGGACGGCAAGCAGAAAACGGUGACUGACCCCAAAGAGUGGAGGACUGGAGUGGGAGCACCUGAGACCUCCCUGCGCGACCUGGGGCGAUGAGGUGGGCAGAGCAGGAGCUAACACGCCCACGCCACCGAAGAAGGAGCGGAAGGUCCCUGCAAGAUGAGGUCACUGUCCUGAAGGCACGUAGCGGGUGGAGCGGAUUUUCACCCCAAGUCGGCCUGGCUAACAGGCCCCACGAUGUCGCCGUCACAUCCCCGGUCCAAGGGCUGUAGGCUAGGACGGGAGCGUGGGAGGUUGUGUUGUGUCACUCGGCUGAGCAGGAGCCCCGUUCCCCCAACUCCUUGUCCUACAUGCUUGCAGCCAAGCCAAGCAGCCAGCCCAGGAGGUGUGUGGGCAGGCCUUGGGAGGCAGAGGAGGAGAAGCAGCCGCGUCCCCUUGCUGCGAGGGCUGCGGCAGCCCCGAGGCCCUGUUCUGGUUCUCUCUCUGCUGGCCCCCGGGAUCUCCUCCCCCAGCUGCCCUGACUCCUGGGCCGGGUCCACCGGCAGCUCCGGGACACAGGGCACCCACAUCAUGGAAGGGGCCGGCCGGAGGCGCCGUGAGGCCGAUGCAGGUGCCGGCUCAUUCUCGUGGGCUCCGCUCACUCUCGCAGGGACCCCUGGACCACCUGCUCUGUGGACCUCCGCGGCCGCACUGGACUAGGAUGGGUGACCAGCCAAUCUCUCGCUGCCGCGGUCGCACAAUGCCAAAU
Acinonyx jubatus (cheetah) is the source of this 3320-nucleotide long non-coding RNA. RefSeq lists it as uncharacterized. The record is from RefSeq and is a predicted model, not a curated record. The transcript is spliced from 4 exons. Lineage: Eukaryota; Metazoa; Chordata; Mammalia; Carnivora; Felidae.